Molecule: ribosomal RNA, 486 nt
Filed under: uncultured bacterium
Lineage: Bacteria
Description: partial 16S ribosomal RNA
Rfam family: Bacterial small subunit ribosomal RNA
Source: RNAcentral
AUUGAACGCUGGCGGCAUGCCUUACACAUGCAAGUCGAACGGCAGCACGGGUGCUUGCACCUGGUGGCGAGUGGCGAACGGGUGAGUAAUACAUCGGAACAUGUCCUGUAGUGGGGGAUAGCCCGGCGAAAGCCGGAUUAAUACCGCAUACGAUCUACGGAUGAAAGCGGGGGACCUUCGGGCCUCGCGCUAUAGGGUUGGCCGAUGGCUGAUUAGCUAGUUGGUGGGGUAAAGGCCUACCAAGGCGACGAUCAGUAGCUGGACUGAGAGGACGACCAGCCACACUGGGACUGAGACACGGCCCAGACUCCUACGGGAGGCAGCAGUGGGGAAUUUUGGACAAUGGGCGAAAGCCUGAUCCAGCAAUGCCGCGUGUGUGAAGAAGGCCUUCGGGUUGUAAAGCACUUUUGUCCGGAAAGAAAUCCUUGGCUCUAAUACAGUCGGGGGAUGACGGUACCGGAAGAAUAAGCACCGGCUAACUACGUG